Molecule: non-coding RNA, 766 nt
Organism: Paramuricea clavata
Lineage: Eukaryota; Metazoa; Cnidaria; Anthozoa; Malacalcyonacea; Plexauridae
Source: the annotation of a GenBank genome assembly
CGGGUGUAUUCGCGUAUCAAAAUAAAAAGUUCGUCGCAAGUCAACUUUUUGGCGUACUACGGAAGUACUAACCAAUCAACAUUCACGAAAUUUUGAAAUUUAAAAACAAUUUUGAUACGUUUCGGUACGGUACGCUUGAAGCGGAAAACCGGCUUUAGUUUGACGUCCGCAAAAAAAAAAUUGGCAGACAAUUUUUUUGAAAGUGAUAAUUAUAUAAGUUUUUGUGAUACUUAUUUUAUGAUAUUAGACAUGAUCUAUAUAGAUCAGACUGCAGGGGAAGUAAUGAGUUAGUUCUCUUUAGUUUGGAAGGGGAAGUUAGUUUUUAGUUUGGAAGGUGAAGUUAGUUUUGAAGGGGAGGUUAGUUUGGAAGGUGUAUAGUGUUGUGGACACACCCCUCUCAUGAUUGACAUAUUAUGAAACAGUAGGAGACAAUGAGAUUGUUUUUGCAUGCAUUGUAGAUGGUGGGAAAUAGCAAGAAAUAUACUUAUGUUUAAUUAAAUUCAACCGACAACGGCGACGAGAAUAAAGCUUUAAAACAACAUUACGGAAUGUCAAAAUUACUUUAGAAGCUUAUUUAUAGAGAAAAUAAAGAUAAAGAUGUUAAAAAAAAAAUCGGACUUGAUUUUGUUGAUAUUGGACAAGUUAAAGUUGCGUUUAAAAGAAAGGAGGGAUGUAGUGUUGUUGACACACCCCUCUCACGAUUGACAUAUUAUGAAACAGGGGAAGUUAGCAGGGGAAGUUAGUUUUCUUUAGUUUCAUCACUGAU